CCCACUCUUCCUCCCCUCGCGCCGCCACUCUUCUUCCCCUCUCCCUUUUCUUCUCUGUGAACAACGGAGACAACCACCGUGAGCUCCUUGCCAUGGCGCCGUCGCAGGAGGCCACCCCGAGCCCAUCCAAGACCACCGUUCGAUGCGCACCGUCGUCCUCUACCACCUCCUGCAAGGAAUCGUCUCGAGGCCCCUUCAAUCGAGCGUAGUUCGCCGUUCCUUUCUCCGUCUCCGGCGCGGUUUUUCACCGAUUCCGGCCAACCUCGGCCUCCUCCGGCAACACCGAGCACACCUACGCCUUCCUGAUCGUCGCCGCCGGCGAAGCUCCGGUGGCUCCCAGGUGCCCGCUCCGCCACUUCCUGGUUCGCCACGACGAGGCGCAUCCCCGACGCCCACCCUCGCUUCCUGGAACCCACCGAGGCGCCCGCGCGCAACGAACCUGAGUCGCAGGUGAUCACCACCGUCGCGCGCCAUGGUCGCCACGUCGUCUCCACGUCGUCCGCCACGCGGCGUCCACGUCGACCCGCGGGCCCAGCCGUCAGCGCCCCGGGCUAACCACCCGCUCGCAUUUGCUUCUUCCCGGAUAGGAUCACGAAGUGUUGAUGUGAGAUACGAUGAGUUCUCC
This is a non-coding RNA of Lolium perenne, 625 nucleotides long. NCBI's taxonomy places the organism in Eukaryota, Viridiplantae, Streptophyta, Magnoliopsida, Poales, Poaceae. The record is from RefSeq and is a predicted model, not a curated record.